AGCCGGCGAUGUCCGAAUGGGGAAACCCAGUGCAAUUCGUUGCACUAUCGUUAACUGAAUACAUAGGUUAACGAGGCGAACCGGGGGAACUGAAACAUCUAAGUACCCCGAGGAAAAGAAAUCAACCGAGAUUCCCCCAGUAGCGGCGAGCGAACGGGGAGCAGCCCAGAGUCUGAAUCAGCUUGUGUGUUAGUGGAACGGUCUGGAAAGUCCGACGGUACAGGGUGAUAGUCCCGUACACCAAAAUGCACAGGUUGUGAACUCGAAGAGUAGGGCGGGACACGUGGUAUCCUGUCUGAAUAUGGGGGGACCAUCCUCCAAGGCUAAAUACUCCUGACUGACCGAUAGUGAACCAGUACCGUGAGGGAAAGGCGAAAAGAACCCCGGCGAGGGGAGUGAAAAAGAACCUGAAACCGUGUACGUACAAGCAGUGGGAGCACCUUCGUGGUGUGACUGCGUACCUUUUGUAUAAUGGGUCAGCGACUUAUAUUCUGUAGCAAGGUUAACCGUAUAGGGGAGCCGCAGGGAAACCGAGUCUUAACUGGGCGUUAAGUUGCAGGGUAUAGACCCGAAACCCGGUGAUCUAGCCAUGGGCAGGUUGAAGGUUGGGUAACACUAACUGGAGGACCGAACCGACUAAUGUUGAAAAAUUAGCGGAUGACUUGUGGCUGGGGGUGAAAGGCCAAUCAAACCGGGAGAUAGCUGGUUCUCCCCGAAAGCUAUUUAGGUAGCGCCUCGUGAACUCAUCUUCGGGGGUAGAGCACUGUUUCGGCUAGGGGGUCAUCCCGACUUACCAACCCGAUGCAAACUACGAAUACCGAAGAAUGUUAUCACGGGAGACACACGGCGGGUGCUAACGUCCGUCGUGAAGAGGGAAACAACCCAGACCGCCAGCUAAGGUCCCAAAGUCAUGGUUAAGUGGGAAACGAUGUGGGAAGGCACAGACAGCCAGGAUGUUGGCUUAGAAGCAGCCAUCAUUUAAAGAAAGCGUAAUAGCUCACUGGUCGAGUCGGCCUGCGCGGAAGAUGUAACGGGGCUAAACCAUGCACCGAAGCUGCGGCAGCGACACUAUGUGUUGUUGGGUAGGGGAGCGUUCUGUAAGCCUGCGAAGGUGACCUGUGAGGGUUGCUGGAGGUAUCAGAAGUGCGAAUGCUGACAUAAGUAACGAUAAAGCGGGUGAAAAGCCCGCUCGCCGGAAGACCAAGGGUUCCUGUCCAACGUUAAUCGGGGCAGGGUGAGUCGACCCCUAAGGCGAGGCCGAAAGGCGUAGUCGAUGGGAAACAGGUUAAUAUUCCUGUACUUGGUGUUACUGCGAAGGGGGGACGGAGAAGGCUAUGUUAGCCGGGCGACGGUUGUCCCGGUUUAAGCAUGUAGGCUGAUUAUCCAGGCAAAUCCGGAUAAUCAAGGCUGAGGUGUGAUGACGAGGCACUACGGUGCUGAAGUAACAAAUGCCCUGCUUCCAGGAAAAGCCUCUAAGCAUCAGGUAACAUCAAAUCGUACCCCAAACCGACACAGGUGGUCAGGUAGAGAAUACCAAGGCGCUUGAGAGAACUCGGGUGAAGGAACUAGGCAAAAUGGUGCCGUAACUUCGGGAGAAGGCACGCUGGUGUGUAGGUGAAGCCCCUGCGGGUGGAGCUGAGACCAGUCGAAGAUACCAGCUGGCUGCAACUGUUUAUUAAAAACACAGCACUGUGCAAACACGAAAGUGGACGUAUACGGUGUGACGCCUGCCCGGUGCCGGAAGGUUAAUUGAUGGGGUUAUCCGUAAGGAGAAGCUCUUGAUCGAAGCCCCGGUAAACGGCGGCCGUAACUAUAACGGUCCUAAGGUAGCGAAAUUCCUUGUCGGGUAAGUUCCGACCUGCACGAAUGGCGUAAUGAUGGCCAGGCUGUCUCCACCCGAGACUCAGUGAAAUUGAACUCGCUGUGAAGAUGCAGUGUACCCGCGGCAAGACGGAAAGACCCCGUGAACCUUUACUAUAGCUUGACACUGAACAUUGAGCCUUGAUGUGUAGGAUAGGUGGGAGGCUUUGAAGCGUGGACGCCAGUCUGCGUGGAGCCAACCUUGAAAUACCACCCUUUAAUGUUUGAUGUUCUAACGUUGGCCCCUUAUCGGGGUUGCGGACAGUGUCUGGUGGGUAGUUUGACUGGGGCGGUCUCCUCCCAAAGCGUAACGGAGGAGCACGAAGGUUAGCUAAUCCUGGUCGGACAUCAGGAGGUUAGUGCAAUGGCAUAAGCUAGCUUGACUGCGAGCGUGACGGCGCGAGCAGGUGCGAAAGCAGGUCAUAGUGAUCCGGUGGUUCUGAAUGGAAGGGCCAUCGCUCAACGGAUAAAAGGUACUCCGGGGAUAACAGGCUGAUACCGCCCAAGAGUUCAUAUCGACGGCGGUGUUUGGCACCUCGAUGUCGGCUCAUCACAUCCUGGGGCUGAAGUAGGUCCCAAGGGUAUGGCUGUUCGCCAUUUAAAGUGGUACGCGAGCUGGGUUUAGAACGUCGUGAGACAGUUCGGUCCCUAUCUGCCGUGGGCGCUGGAGAAUUGAGGGGGGCUGCUCCUAGUACGAGAGGACCGGAGUGGACGCAUCACUGGUGUUCGGGUUGUCAUGCCAAUGGCACUGCCCGGUAGCUAAAUGCGGAAGAGAUAAGUGCUGAAAGCAUCUAAGCACGAAACUUGCCCCGAGAUGAGUUCUCCCUGAGACUUUAAGUCUCCUGAAGGAACGUU
RNAcentral lists this ribosomal RNA (2715 nucleotides) under Klebsiella quasipneumoniae. Its description in RNAcentral is "partial 23S ribosomal RNA". It matches the Rfam family "Bacterial large subunit ribosomal RNA". The record is from RNAcentral. Lineage: Bacteria; Pseudomonadati; Pseudomonadota; Gammaproteobacteria; Enterobacterales; Enterobacteriaceae.